This 309-nucleotide long non-coding RNA is filed under the name Ananas comosus (pineapple). RNAcentral describes it as "long non-coding RNA (ACOM_LNC007206)". The record is from RNAcentral. Lineage: Eukaryota; Viridiplantae; Streptophyta; Magnoliopsida; Poales; Bromeliaceae.
AUUAACAUCCCAACCAUGUUAGAAGGGUUAAAAAUGAGUUCUAAAAGAGUUAGAAAGGUUUUAGCGUUGUCCGGCGCGAAAUAGAGUCGAAAACAAGCUAAAAACCAAGUCUGGAGCAUUGUGUACCGGUACAAGUUGAUGGUUGUACCGGUACAACAAGCGACCCGAAGAAUGGCAACUCUCGGGUUUGAGUGAAAAAGGCUGUUAAACCGGUGACACGGGAAAGUGUACCGGUACACUUUGGCAGAAUGGCAAAGAUUUGGUCUGCUGUAAUUAUAAUUGAUUGGAGGGGUUUAUUUGUAAUUGUUA